This is a non-coding RNA of Sebastes umbrosus (honeycomb rockfish), 649 nucleotides long. Lineage: Eukaryota; Metazoa; Chordata; Actinopteri; Perciformes; Sebastidae. The record is from the annotation of a RefSeq genome assembly.
AGGUUUUUGUACGGCCACUUAAUGAGUUUGUAUCACUGUGGUGGACUUUUGGUGGAGGAACCAAACUCAUCAUUAACUCUGGCACCAUGGUCAGGCCCUCAGUCUCUCUGCUUCCCCCCUCCUCUGAGCAGCUCUCUGGGGGCUCGGCCACGCUGGCCUGCCUGCUGACCGGCUACUCUCCUCAGGGAGCCGUGGUGAGCUGGCAGGUGGACGGUACGGAGGUGACGGAGGGGGUCCUGAGCAGCUCAGAGGAGGAGAAGAGCGGCCGCUACAGCAGCAGCAGCACCCUGAGCCUGAGCCAGGAGCGCUGGAUGGAAGGAGAGCUGUACUCCUGCAGGGUCCUCCAUCAGGGCCACAGCCAGACCCAGUCCCUCCACAGGAGCCAGUGUAAGGGCUAGAGGGGCCGGCUGAAGCCCAGGACAGGAGCUCUGUGUGGGGGGGGAGCAGCUCUGAUCAAUAGCAGUUUGAAUGCUUGUAGAGGAAACUGAAGCUUUGUGUGACAGAGAACAACACUGCUGUAAAGUGUUGGACAACAACAACUUAGAGAGGAAUGUGUGUCGCUCAGCAGCUUCAUGUGAGUGAGCUUAAUAACUGUCAUGUUGAUCACUGAUGUUGUUGCUAAUAAAGAUUUCACUGAUACAUAACUUCA